This 574-nucleotide ribosomal RNA is filed under the name Crassispira scala. RNAcentral describes it as "eukaryotic LSU rRNA". The record is from RNAcentral. Lineage: Eukaryota; Metazoa; Mollusca; Gastropoda; Neogastropoda; Turridae.
CAACAGUACGUGAAACCGCAUAGAGGUAAACGGGUGGAUCCGCAAAGUCGGCCCGCGGAAUUCAGCUCGGAAGGCUGCGCGCCUGCCGCCGGGUAGGAGAUCGCAAGACUCUCCUGGCGUGGGACGCGUGCCGGCCGUGUGCACUUUCCGUGGGCAGAGCGCCACGACCGGUUUCUGGGCGGUCAGAAGGCGGCGAGGAUGGUAGGCGCGCGCCUCGGUGCGCGCUGGUAUAGCCUCGCCUGUCCCGAUCCGCCUGGGGACCGAGGAGCCGCCGUGGGCUGGGGCCGCCUCGCCCUCCCGGGACGUUCGACUGGCAGAGACUGGGUGACCGUGUCUGCCGACCGCUUCCUGGGACGGACUGGGGUGGGCCCGCCCUCACAGGGUCAGUGGCGAAUCGGUCGGCCCUCCACCCGACCCGUCUUGAAACACGGACCAAGGAGUCUAACAUGCGCGCGAGUCGUUGGGUCGUACGAAACCCGAAGGCGAAGUGAAAGCGAGGGCCGUCUCUGACGUGCUCAGGUGGGAUCCUGGUCCCUCUGCGGGCUGGGCGCACCACCGGCCCGUCUCGUCCGCG